This is a long non-coding RNA of Melospiza melodia melodia, 1101 nucleotides long. RefSeq lists it as uncharacterized. The record is from RefSeq and is a predicted model, not a curated record. The transcript has 3 exons. Lineage: Eukaryota; Metazoa; Chordata; Aves; Passeriformes; Passerellidae.
CUCCAGGGGCUGGAACUCCAUCUCUUCCUUCUGCAUGCUGGGAAAGCAAAGUGGACUGUUAAGGAGCCACAGAGGGGAGGGGGGCAUCUCCUGGAGAGGCUGGAGCACUGAGAAUGCAGCUGCCAGUGGCAAGCCUCUCUCUGUAUUGCCACUAGCCCCGUCAAAACAGGGAUGCUCAUCAUACAGUGUAAUGUCCUACAGACUUGAUCCAGGUGUUGUGACGCUUUGUUCCUGCACUCACCUGAUGUCAAAAGUGGAGCCCAGGAAGGACGGGCGCUUGUACUCAGCGGUGGCAGCAGUGUAGGGUGGCUGGGGGUCAGGCUCGUUCCAGUACAGAUCCUUCUCCAGAAUGGGUAAAUCCUGGUGCAUCUCAUCCACUGCCAUGAGGGAGACCUGCGGGGGACAGCAGGAAUGUCACACAGGCCAGGUUGGAGAACCACACGCACGGAAUCCAGAACUUGUUGUGGGGGGAAUUCAAGCUCUCAAACUUCUUGUGCUCUUCUGGUGUCAUGAGACCUGAAUGGGAAAGAGCAGCUGGGAGAGGGAUGGACAUAGAGGGCAGAAGGAACUGAUCUGGUCUGGAAUGAAAACAUCUGAAUCUCAGGUGGGAUGCCUUGGCUCUCCCUAAAAAUCCCAGUAAAAACUCAGAAUCUGGGGAGACAUGCAGAAGGACAAGUCUCCCUGUUAAAACAUUGAGUCAUGGAGGUGAGAUAAUGGGAUUUCACUUUUGAUGUCUGCAGCACAUCAGAUAAGAGCCCAUCAGGGAGAUAAAGCACUGCUGGAGGUGCAGCUGCCUGGUGUCCAUAGAUACUUGUUGAGAAUGGGAUAAUUUGUGUCCCUGAAGUGCCUUUUCUUUUUAGGAGGCUUAACUAUAUCACAUCUCUGUGGAUUGCCAAGGGCACCCAGACAAUGUGGCUGGACUGGGAACUCUGCUGCACCUCGAGGAGCAUUUCCCAAGAAGAUGCAGUGUGCCCUGCAGUUAAGCUUGGAGACUUGGGGCUCAAAUUCCCACCUGCCCUGAGGGAACAGCACCACCCCAUUUCCACAGAAGCUUUCCCAGGGCCCCCUGCCCCUGGAGGAGCAGCAAGGAGCAGUGCUGAC